CCCCUCUCAGGAUCGUACCUGGAAAAUUUCCAGUACUGUGCCAGUCUCAGCUAUGGGAGGGAAAGUCAAGCAGGGGCUUGCCCAUUCCAUUUCUAGCUUGGCCAGUGGCUAGCAGGUGGAAGACAAUCUGCUACAAGU
Molecule: small nucleolar RNA, 138 nt
Organism: Tachyglossus aculeatus (Australian echidna)
Lineage: Eukaryota; Metazoa; Chordata; Mammalia; Monotremata; Tachyglossidae
Source: RefSeq, a predicted model, not a curated record